GUGAAUCAUCAAAUUUUUGAACGCAAAUUGCACUCUCCGGUUUUCCGGGAGAGUAUGCCUGUUUGAGGGUCAGUUAAUUAAAAAUCGGGUUGUUACCACCUGGUGACGUUCCGGAAUUGAGUCGCCUUACUUUUUGUUAAAUGACUUAAAAAUUUUUGUAUGAUAUCUAAACGUAUUUAAAUUUAUUUGGUACGUUUUUUAAUAUCGAAUGUUUAUUAGGUGUGAUCAUUUUCAUGAUUCACAUCCUAUAAUUUUUCAUCUAAUGACCUCAAAUCAGGUAAGAAUACCCGCUGAACUUAAA
Molecule: unclassified non-coding RNA, 301 nt
Filed under: Glomeraceae sp.
Lineage: Eukaryota; Fungi; Glomeromycota; Glomeromycetes; Glomerales; Glomeraceae
Description: partial contains 5.8S ribosomal RNA, internal transcribed spacer 2, and large subunit ribosomal RNA
Rfam family: 5.8S ribosomal RNA (bases 1-72)
Source: RNAcentral